GCAAGCAGUGAAUAAUGACCUGUGUUAUGAUGAGAUCUAUAUUUCUCUUGUGACCUGAGAAUGUUCCUCUUCCUCUGUCAAUCCCAAAUUUGAUGCCAUAAUCACUGAAAACAGUAGGAGAGAAGCACUCCUUGUGCUCCUUUUGCACAAGCGUAGCUUGCCAAGCAGUGACCUGUCCGCACCCCGGAUCCGAACUGGUGAACCCCAGGCCACCAAAACGAACAUGCGCACUUAACCGCUGCACCACCAGGCCAGCUCUAAAUGUUUCCAGGUCUCUGAGUCUGCAUCAAUUCCACCAGUUCUGACCCUGGAACUUUAGUGAAUGACCCACCACUCAAGGCCCUCCAGCUGCAUCAGUCUUCUCUUACAAGGUCCAGAUGGAGCCAUCAGGUUUGAUGAUAUCAAGAUUGGUCUUGUUGCUCCAUUCCUUCAGGGAAGUAAGAUUCCACGCGCUCUGAUGCCGCCAUAGAGAAGAUCCAAUAAUCCACCCGUGUGUGCUGGCUGCUGACCAUUCGCUGUUCCACCUGGCUCUUGAAGGGAGAAACACUGCUGUCCACUGAGGCCUCCUGUCCCCUUGAUCUCCAUUUCAUCUUCCAGAUGGGACUGCAGGCAUUCGCUGAUUGUCUAGGCUUCUUCCCUGGUCUGUCUCACCCCCACCUGGAUGUUCUUUGCUCAC
This 676-nucleotide long non-coding RNA is filed under the name Equus asinus (donkey). Its description in RNAcentral is "lncRNA (ENSEASG00005028589.1)". The record is from RNAcentral. Lineage: Eukaryota; Metazoa; Chordata; Mammalia; Perissodactyla; Equidae.